This 520-nucleotide ribosomal RNA is filed under the name uncultured Diversispora. Its description in RNAcentral is "SSU rRNA". It matches the Rfam family "Eukaryotic small subunit ribosomal RNA", at positions 569 to 1089 of the family's 1831-position model. The record is from RNAcentral. Lineage: Eukaryota; Fungi; Glomeromycota; Glomeromycetes; Diversisporales; Diversisporaceae.
AGCAGCCGCGGUAAUUCCAGCUCCAAUAGCGUAUAUUAAAGUUGUUGCAGUUAAAAAGCUCGUAGUUGAACCUCGGGGUCUACCCAUUGGUCAGGCUUAAUUGUCUGCACUGGUGAGAUGGAUCUCUACCUUCUGAGGAACUUUCAUGCCAUUUAUUUGGUGUGAUGGGAAAUCAGGACUGUUACUUUGAAAAAUUAGAGUGUUUAAAGCAGACUAUCGUCUGAAUACAUUAGCAUGGAAUAAUGAAAUAGGACGGACUGAUUCUAUUUCGUUGGUUUCUAGGAUCACCGUAAUGAUUAAUAGGGAUAGUUGGGGGCAUUAGUAUUCAAUUGUCAGAGGUGAAAUUCUUGGAUUUAUUGAAGACUAACUACUGCGAAAGCAUUUGCCAAGGAUGUUUUCAUUAAUCAAGAACGAAAGUUAGGGGAUCGAAGACGAUCAGAUACCGUCGUAGUCUUAACCAUAAACUAUGCCGACUAGGAAUCAGACGAUGUUAAUUUUUUAAUGACUCGUUUGGCACCUU